GACGAACGCUGGCGGCGUGCUUAACACAUGCAAGUCGAACGGAAAGGCCCUGCUUUUGUGGGGUGCUCGAGUGGCGAACGGGUGAGUAACACGUGAGUAACCUGCCCUUGACUUUGGGAUAACUUCAGGAAACUGGGGCUAAUACCGGAUAGGAGCUCCUGCUGCAUGGUGGGGGUUGGAAAGUUUCGGCGGUUGGGGAUGGACUCGCGGCUGAUCAGCUUGUUGGUGGGGUAGUGGCUUACCAAGGCUUUGACGGGUAGCCGGCCUGGGAGGGUGACCGGCCACAAUGGGACUGAGAGACGGCCCAGACUGCAACGGGGGGCAACAGGGGGGAAUAUUGCACAAUGGGCGGAAGCCUGAUGCAGCAACGCCGCGUGCGGGAUGACGGCCUUCGGGUUGUAAACCGCUUUCGCCUGUGACGAAGCGUGAGUGACGGUAAUGGGUAAAGAAGCACCGGCUAACUACGUG
Molecule: ribosomal RNA, 468 nt
Filed under: uncultured bacterium
Lineage: Bacteria
Description: partial 16S ribosomal RNA
Rfam family: Bacterial small subunit ribosomal RNA
Source: RNAcentral